GGGCGCAAGCCUGAUGCAGCAACGCCGCGUGAGGGAUGACGGCCUUCGGGUUGUAAACCUCUUUUAGCAGGGAAGAAGCGAAAGUGACGGUACCUGCAGAAAAAGCGCCGGCUAACUACGUGCCAGCAGCCGCGGUAAUACGUAGGGCGCAAGCGUUAUCCGGAAUUAUUGGGCGUAAAGAGCUCGUAGGCGGUUUGUCGCGUCUGCUGUGAAAUCCCGAGGCUCAACCUCGGGCCUGCAGUGGGUACGGGCAGACUAGAGUGCGGUAGGGGAGAUUGGAAUUCCUGGUGUAGCGGUGGAAUGCGCAGAUAUCAGGAGGAACACCGAUGGCGAAGGCAGAUCUCUGGGCCGUAACUGACGCUGAGGAGCGAAAGGGUGGGGAGCAAACAGGCUUAGAUACCCUGGUAGUCCACCCCGUAAACGUUGGGAACUAGUUGUGGGGUCCAUUCCACGGAUUCCGUGACGCAGCUAACGCAUUAAGUUCCCCGCCUGGGGAGUACGGCCGCAAG
This 509-nucleotide ribosomal RNA is filed under the name Microbacterium sp. HCUPPB3. Its description in RNAcentral is "bacterial SSU rRNA". It matches the Rfam family "Bacterial small subunit ribosomal RNA", at positions 373 to 892 of the family's 1533-position model. The record is from RNAcentral. Lineage: Bacteria; Bacillati; Actinomycetota; Actinomycetes; Micrococcales; Microbacteriaceae.